UGGGGAAUUUUGGACAAUGGGCGCAAGCCUGAUCCAGCCAUUCCGCGUGCAGGAUGAAGGCCUUCGGGUUGUAAACUGCUUUUGUACGGAACGAAACGGUCUGCCCUAAUACGGCAGGCUAAUGACGGUACCGUAAGAAUAAGCACCGGCUAACUACGUGCCAGCAGCCGCGGUAAUACGUAGGGUGCAAGCGUUAAUCGGAAUUACUGGGCGUAAAGCGUGCGCAGGCGGUUAUAUAAGACAGAUGUGAAAUCCCCGGGCUCAACCUGGGAACUGCAUUUGUGACUGUAUGGCUAGAGUACGGCAGAGGGGGAUGGAAUUCCGCGUGUAGCAGUGAAAUGCGUAGAUAUGCGGAGGAACACCGAUGGCGAAGGCAAUCCCCUGGGCCUGUACUGACGCUCAUGCACGAAAGCGUGGGGGGCAAACAG
This 428-nucleotide ribosomal RNA is filed under the name uncultured bacterium. RNAcentral describes it as "bacterial SSU rRNA". It matches the Rfam family "Bacterial small subunit ribosomal RNA", at positions 355 to 775 of the family's 1533-position model. The record is from RNAcentral.